Molecule: long non-coding RNA, 214 nt
Filed under: Linum usitatissimum (flax)
Lineage: Eukaryota; Viridiplantae; Streptophyta; Magnoliopsida; Malpighiales; Linaceae
Description: long non-coding RNA (LUSI_LNC000160)
Source: RNAcentral
AGCAUGAUCAUCUCCCUUUAUCUUUCCUUAAAUGCAGUUUGAGAUUCUCAUAUAUCGGUCUUAUUGAUUUGCAUCUUGUCAGUGUGAAUUAGUAUCAUUUUAUUUUUCCGUUUAAACUCCUUUAAGGCGCUAUGAAGUUUUAGUAGAUGGGGGAUUCUAACGCAUGUGCCACCAAAGAAGUCUUGAAGGUUUAGGUGGUUAUGGCUCACACACG